GAUUCCUGCCGCAAGCUUGUAGCUCAUCCUUGGGAAGCGGAGAACGUGGGCAGACUACCCCAUGGGAUGGUCAGUCUUCCUUCCUUUGCCACCUGGGUUUAUAAAGUGGGGAUGCCGAAAUGCAAUCCUUAGUUCCCCCGUCUUCAUCCUCUAGCCCUCUCACACCUCUGCGGUAGCGCUUUCCCGAUCUUCCACCUCCCACCUCGAGUUAGGGCUAUCCCCACCCAUGGAUCGCAGAUCCAAGCCCGUCACAUACAAAGGGGAGGGAAGCAGGGAGGAGGAUGCGAUGCAGGAGCCAGAGCUAGACCUCUAUGGAUCUGAAAUCGCGGAUGAGGAGAGUGUGCAGUAGCUCUGUUUCUUGGUUGGUAGCAUGAACAACGAGUGGGGGCCCACGGUGUUGUUUUCGGUGGGCAGCCGGGAGGUCGGGGAUGAUGUUGUGCCCAGCUUCGUCAAUUUCCUCGCUGCAGGCUUGGUACCUCCUUUUUAUGAUCUCUUCCUCGUGGUGCUAGAGCACUUCCAACUCCAUAUGCUGCAUCUGCACUCGAACACGGUGCUGGCCCUGGCCAUCUUUGCCCAUCUCUGCGAGGAAUUCGUUGAAGUGCAACUUUUGCUGGAACUUUCCGGCAUUUCUACUCUCCUCUUUUAAACUCCAAGGACAACCAGACUUCUGGCUGCAUGACCUUCCGCCUUGGCGGGAAGGAGGAUAAGAGCUUCAUUUUGAUGAAGUUGUACUCUCACGUGAAGGAAUGGCGCUGGAGCCAACUGCUCGUCAAGGCCUUGCGAGGCCCCACUCUGCUACAUGAACCAAGAGCUCCUCCUCGCAUGAUGAAGCGCAACUACUGGAAAAGGCGAGCCGCCGGGAAGGGUUUCGAACCAGUUAUUUGGUGCAUCCGGUUGUUUGCAGAGUGGGGUUUGGACGGUCGUAUGGUGGCGAGCAGCUUCGCAUCACCCCCCAUCCAAGUCUGGAAGGAGCUAACUUGGCUGCUCGAGAGCGCUAACGACCCCAAGCGUCUUCACCGGGCCGCCAUCGACAAUGAGAGCCUGUCGUGGAUCAUGGAGACUCUGUUCCAUUCCGAUGUGGUUCUAGCUCUGCCGCCCUAUGUCGGGAUGCUCCACUCCAAUGUGGAAUGCGGGACCUUACUGAGGGGGGUUGUCGAAAGCGAUAAGUGGGGCAUCGUCCCCGCCGGUAAGGCUGGCACAGACCGGCCGAACCCCUUCCCACGACGGGCGAGCUUGCCUGGCCCCAAUUCUGGAGAGGCCGGGGAGGAAGAUGAAGAUGAGGGUAAGGACGACUCAGAGGGUUCCUCCAGCAUCCUCGUCAUGAGGGAGGCACCUCCGUCGUAGGACCGGAAGCGUGCUUCUCCCUUCCAUCGAUCUCUAGUCCUGCCACCGGGGCUCAGCGGCGACACCACACGGUUGUCACCAAUUUGGCGACCAUGGAUGACGUCAGGAUGGAGGUGAUUCCUCCCUCAGCCACCGGCGCACCUUCAGACGAGGUCGUGGUGGCCCAAGCAUCCCCCGAGGCGGAUUGGACCCGAGCGUCUCGGGAACACACAGAUGUUCCAAAGGAGACUCCUCAGUCCCCACGGGGCCUAUGCUGACUUGCUUGCUGACGGCCUGUCAGAGGAUCGGGGCCACGCAUUUCCUUUGACCAGGGGAUGCUCAAGAGGAAGUGGUGCACCAAGGACGAGCCCGUAGAUCAUUUCUAGGGGUGAGGUCCUGGAAAAUCCCGAGCCACUUCUAAUCGUUGUAUUGUAAUGCACUAUGAUACGAUGCUAUCGCUCUUGCUUACAAGCUUCUUUGCUCUUUCUCUUUGCUUAAAAGCUUAUUCUUUUUUU
Long non-coding RNA from Triticum dicoccoides, 1838 nucleotides. RefSeq lists it as uncharacterized. The transcript is spliced from 2 exons. The record is from RefSeq and is a predicted model, not a curated record. NCBI's taxonomy places the organism in Eukaryota, Viridiplantae, Streptophyta, Magnoliopsida, Poales, Poaceae.